AUUGAACGCUGGCGGCAUGCUUUACACAUGCCAGUCGAACGGUAACAGGCCUUCGGGUGCUGACGAGUGGCGAACGGGUGAGUAAUGCAUCGGAACGUACCCAGAGGUGGGGGAUAACGCAGCGAAAGCUGUGCUAAUACCGCAUGUGAUCUGAGGAUGAAAGCGGGGGACCGAGCAGCAAUGUUUGGCCUCGCGCCUUUGGAGCGGCCGAUGUCGGAUUAGCUAGUUGGUGGGGUAAAGGCCUACCAAGGCGACGAUCCGUAGCUGGUCUGAGAGGACGAACAGCCACACUGGGACUGAGACACGGCCCAGACUCCUACGGGAGGCAGCGGUGGGGAAUUUUGGACAAUGGGGGCAAGCCUGAUCCAGCAAUGCCGCGUGCGGGAAGAAGGCCUUCGGGUUGUAAACCGCUUUUGGCAGGAACGAAACGGUGUCCGCUAAUACCGGGCGCUAAUGACGGUACCUGCAGAAUAAGCACCGGCUAACUACGUG
This 492-nucleotide ribosomal RNA is filed under the name uncultured bacterium. Its description in RNAcentral is "partial 16S ribosomal RNA". It matches the Rfam family "Bacterial small subunit ribosomal RNA", at positions 29 to 507 of the family's 1533-position model. The record is from RNAcentral.